Long non-coding RNA from Cervus elaphus (red deer), 219 nucleotides. RefSeq lists it as uncharacterized. The transcript has 3 exons. NCBI's taxonomy places the organism in Eukaryota, Metazoa, Chordata, Mammalia, Artiodactyla, Cervidae. The record is from RefSeq and is a predicted model, not a curated record.
AUGUUUUCCUUGAAGAAAGUUGACUUCUUUCUUCCUUUUGCUUUCUGCCCUCCUAAGUUUGGUCCAGUGGUUUGUGUUUGCUUCUUAUAGGGUGACAUUUUUGCUGAGUUUUUGUUUGUUUGUUUGUUUGUUUUUCCUCUGAUGGGCAAGGCUGAGUGAGGUGGUAAUCCUGUCUGCUGAUGACUGGGUUUGUAUUUUUUUUGUUUGUUUGUUGUUUAG